CAUGUCCUGUUCGAGUGUUUGGUGGUUGAUUUCCUUCCAAUUUCCAAAGACGUGAUUUUCAAUUUUCAUUCCCUCGUUUUCUUCCUUCAUUCCUUUCCUGCGAUGGAUGAAGGAUACCGAUUUUACCCUUCGUAAUUUCGUUUAGAAACCAUGAAAAUCGCAACCUAUCUGCCAGACCACUGCAAUCGAUCCUAACAAGUGAACAAGAACUGCGGCAACAUUAUCGAUUUCUCCUAAUCGCAACCAAAUCAGCAUCCAAAUCGAAACGGAAGUAGCUUCUAAGAAUAGAUCGAUUCUCGAUUUCUAUAAAGCAUCUUCCAAUCCAUUUCAGAAAAAGCACAAUACAUGGAUCGUCUUUGAAGUGUUCUUCAUCAUCUCCAAGAUAUGACAUGUGGAUUGCAAAAGCAACAUAACAUCUUUUUGUCCUAUAAUCUGAGCUUUUUCCCAGUGAAGAAAAUGAGGAGGGCAUUAAUGUCUUUUAACAAGUGAGAGAUCAAGAGCAAAUCCUAACAUUGGUGGUUUGCUUCUUUACAAAUUACACAUGGCUGAUCAGUUAUUUGUGCAAUGGCCACAAUUACAAAAACAAUAUCCUCGAGCUCAUUAUGUGGGACGUCUUAUGUAACCAUUUUGUUUUUGUAUAAACAACUUAAUUCAAAAGGACAUUUUAAGUGUAGGUAUGUUUUUUAUUUAUUUAUCUAUUUAAUAGUGUUUGAAAUAUAGAUAUGUAUCACUAUAGACAUGUGUUAUUAUGAUUUUUUGUUUAUAUGUGAACUCUGUAUUUCAAUUUAGACUAAUACCAAUACAUCGAAUAGCAUGUUUGUUAA
Molecule: long non-coding RNA, 824 nt
Organism: Lactuca sativa (garden lettuce)
Lineage: Eukaryota; Viridiplantae; Streptophyta; Magnoliopsida; Asterales; Asteraceae
Source: RefSeq, a predicted model, not a curated record